Molecule: ribosomal RNA, 1431 nt
Filed under: Bacillus subtilis
Lineage: Bacteria; Bacillati; Bacillota; Bacilli; Caryophanales; Bacillaceae
Description: bacterial SSU rRNA
Rfam family: Bacterial small subunit ribosomal RNA
Source: RNAcentral
GUUUUUUUUCUCUGCUCAGGACGAACGCUGGCGGCGUGCUAAUACAUGCAAGUCGAGCGGACAGAUGGGAGCUUGCUCCUGAUGUUAGCGGCGGACGGGUGAGUAACACGUGGGUAACCUGCCUGUAAGACUGGGAUAACUCCGGGAAACCGGGGCUAAUACCGGAUGGUUGUUUGAACCGCAUGGUUCAAACAUAAAAGGUGGCUUCGGCUACCACUUACAGAUGGACCCGCGGCGCAUUAGCUAGUUGGUGAGGUAAUGGCUCACCAAGGCAACGAUGCGUAGCCGACCUGAGAGGGUGAUCGGCCACACUGGGACUGAGACACGGCCCAGACUCCUACGGGAGGCAGCAGUAGGGAAUCUUCCGCAAUGGACGAAAGUCUGACGGAGCAACGCCGCGUGAGUGAUGAAGGUUUUCGGAUCGUAAAGCUCUGUUGUUAGGGAAGAACAAGUACCGUUCGAAUAGGGCGGUACCUUGACGGUACCUAACCAGAAAGCCACGGCUAACUACGUGCCAGCAGCCGCGGUAAUACGUAGGUGGCAAGCGUUGUCCGGAAUUAUUGGGCGUAAAGGGCUCGCAGGCGGUUUCUUAAGUCUGAUGUGAAAGCCCCCGGCUCAACCGGGGAGGGUCAUUGGAAACUGGGGAACUUGAGUGCAGAAGAGGAGAGUGGAAUUCCACGUGUAGCGGUGAAAUGCGUAGAGAUGUGGAGGAACACCAGUGGCGAAGGCGACUCUCUGGUCUGUAACUGACGCUGAGGAGCGAAAGCGUGGGGAGCGAACAGGAUUAGAUACCCUGGUAGUCCACGCCGUAAACGAUGAGUGCUAAGUGUUAGGGGGUUUCCGCCCCUUAGUGCUGCAGCUAACGCAUUAAGCACUCCGCCUGGGGAGUACGGUCGCAAGACUGAAACUCAAAGGAAUUGACGGGGGCCCGCACAAGCGGUGGAGCAUGUGGUUUAAUUCGAAGCAACGCGAAGAACCUUACCAGGUCUUGACAUCCUCUGACAAUCCUAGAGAUAGGACGUCCCCUUCGGGGGCAGAGUGACAGGUGGUGCAUGGUUGUCGUCAGCUCGUGUCGUGAGAUGUUGGGUUAAGUCCCGCAACGAGCGCAACCCUUGAUCUUAGUUGCCAGCAUUCAGUUGGGCACUCUAAGGUGACUGCCGGUGACAAACCGGAGGAAGGUGGGGAUGACGUCAAAUCAUCAUGCCCCUUAUGACCUGGGCUACACACGUGCUACAAUGGACAGAACAAAGGGCAGCGAAACCGCGAGGGUAAGCCAAUCCCACAAAUCUGUUCUCAGUUCGGAUCGCAGUCUGCAACUCGACUGCGUGAAGCUGGAAUCGCUAGUAAUCGCGGAUCUGCAUGCCGCGGCGAAUACGUUCCCGGGCCUUGUACACACCGCCCGUCACACCACGAGAGUUUGUAACACCCGAA